CUCCAAGAAAUUAAACUCGGGCAAAGAUUCAUGGGAUUAAAAAUUUUUAUUCUUUGUGUAUUUGAUUUCCGAAACAUAGAAAUCUCUCUCCCACUCCUUAAACCUGCCACUGGGCUAAGAGAGUAUUGUACAGAAUAUGCACUCACUGACUUAACAGAAUUAGAACAUCCAGGCACUCACUGAGAUUUUGCUUCCACAACCGCUCAAAGUCUAGUCAUUAGUUCAUGAGUUAACACCACACUUGACCUUCAAGUUUUGGAAAUGCUGACGGUAGACAGGGACUUGUUUUGGGAAAGGAAGUACACAGUAGACAUUGUUACCCAUGACCCAACCACCACCACCUUUCCUUUAAAGAACCCCACUCUUCCUUUAAGGUUGCAGAGUCUCAGAAAGUGGGAAGAAAGGAAGUUUUUGCAUUUUCAGGUCAAAACGAAGUACAUUUGUGCAACCACAUAAUGCCCAUGCAAAGGUUUCUUGAAAUCUAAACACAAGACAGAAGUAGUUCUAGCACCUCCACAAAAAGUAAGGUAAGUAAGUUUUUCCUUAAUAUACACUUUCAGCAGCAUCAACACCUAAAAGUGGUUGACUUUACUACUGUACUAAAUUAAAUUACAUUCAUUUUGUCAAUAGGUGUUCCAAAUUCGUACUGAUCUUUGUCUCCAAGGGGUUCCUGCUGAAUAUUGAGACAGUUGAAGAUUACUAGGGGAAAAAAUUCUUAAUAAUCGAAGUAAGGAUCAUCUAAGGAUAAUAUGCCACAUAUACAGACACAGUCACAUUUUCAGCUUUACAAAAGUUCAGUUAUCAAAGUUGUACAGCAAACACUAUCCUAAGCUUAGCGUCUUCAGGCAUUUGAUUUAUAAUCACUGUAAAGAAAAAUCAGUCACAAAAUGCCACUGUUGUAUGAUUCUAUUUAUAUGAAAUGCCCAGGAUAGGCAAAUCUACAGAGAUAGAAGUUAGAUCAGAGGUUGCCAGGAUCAAUGGUGGGGGAGAGAGCUACAGGGAGUGACUGCUAGUGGGUACGGGGUUCUUUUUGGGGAGAUGAAAAUGUUCUGAAAUUAGGGAGUGGUAAUGGCUGCAUAACUCUGAAUAUACUAAAAACCACUGAACUGUACACUUGAAGGGUGAGGCUUAUCAUACAAAAACUGUAUCACAAUAAAGCUCUUAGUUUAAAAAAUGUUUGUCUAUGUCAAGAAACAAAGAAAUAGGGUCAUAGCUAGAAGAUAUGGGAUAUAAAAUACUGGAACAAAACUGCUUAAUAAUAUAUCUAGAAUCACACAAUGCUUAGUCUUUACGCUGACUAAAAUCACGAGAUUUGUGUUUUAUCGGUAUUUCACAUUUUUUACUUCUUCUAAGUCAGCCAGUAAUUCCUCCUUCUCACUUAAUCGUUGACUACAAAGACCAAGCCAUUUUGACUCUGCCACCGAUGAGCUUUCACAUUUCUUUCCUCCUUCCAUUCCCAUGACUACCAAACCAGUGCAGGUUCUCCUCACUUCACUCUAAGACAACAGCGUGGCCCUCAAAUACUGUCACACUCUUCAAGGCUCUGUGAGCACAAUCUGUCUCAUAUUCUCUUCUGCUGUCACCAGAUUUAUUCUAAGACCGUUUCUUCACUGUUACUCCCCUGUUUCUCAACCAGUUACACAGAAAGACGAAUAUCCAGGCAUGGUGUCAUGUGCCUGUAGUCCCAGCUACUCAGGAGGCUGAGGCGGCAGGAUCGCUUGAGAAUGUGAGAUUCAGACUGCAGUGAGCCAUGAUCAUGCCACCG
RNAcentral lists this long non-coding RNA (1765 nucleotides) under Homo sapiens (human). RNAcentral describes it as "HSALNT0218166". The record is from RNAcentral. Lineage: Eukaryota; Metazoa; Chordata; Mammalia; Primates; Hominidae.